GUGACUGGUAAGCGGAAUCCAGGACACGCGUUUCAACCUAGAUUUGAGUUUUGGAUUUCACUUGCUAGUUACA
This 73-nucleotide microRNA precursor is filed under the name Schistosoma japonicum. RNAcentral's name for it is "microRNA sja-mir-3503 precursor". The record is from miRBase by way of RNAcentral. Lineage: Eukaryota; Metazoa; Platyhelminthes; Trematoda; Strigeidida; Schistosomatidae.